ACAUCAAAAACAGCAAUGAAAAGGGGUCUCAGUGUGACUGUAAACGGGGUGUCUUUGUAGUCGUUUCCACAGCUCCCUCUAGUGGCCCACCACAAUACAGCACCCUGUUUGGCAACAGGCUCUCUUCUAGUUCCACACCGGCAAGGUAAGAUGCUAUAGGUUGUACAAAUUGAUUGGACAGCAUUUCCUGAACCAAAUGUUACUCUUACUCAAUCAUGAAAGCACCAGGUUGACUACAGUAAUCACUCAUGGUGAACAUAAACAAAAUCAGGAAUAUACCAGCAUGAGAGAUUCUCUUUACUGCAGUAUUUUCAUGAUUUCAAAUCCAUUAAAAUCAGUGAUGCUCCCUUGUCCUCUCCUAGCUCCCCAGGUGUUCCAGAGGUCACUUCUGCUUCUCAGACAUUUGCAAGUGAGCAAAUUUAUUAAUUAAAAAGACCUUUGUGGAUAAAUCAGUAAAGAGCACAAUCCAAAGCACAUUUAGUUUACAUUACUCAUGUCUAUAUUUUUCUCUCUCUCUAUUCCCCUCUGUCUCUUCCUCCCUUCUUCUCUGCAGAUUUUCCCAAUCCAUUCAGCUCUGCAGCCAGUACCUCUCAGCCUGCUCUAUCACCAAGUAAUCCAUUCAACAGUACAGCCAAAAGUGACUGCAGUACAGUUGUGACACCCUCUUCAUCAGCUUUCUUUCCUCACUCCGACUCCUUCCCUGCCCAGAAUGCUUUUCCACACGAGCGAACCAAUAAGCAUGAGGCAAAUGGUUUCACUUCUUUCCCUAUGACUGAGUCAACCACCAAAGUCCAGCGACCGAUGUCUGUCAACCCAUUUACUGUGAGUAGCAGCAACUACUGCUCCCUAGAAAUGUAUGGUUGCACAUUCAAUCUCUCUUUUGCUAACAGUUCAUUUAAAAAAGUCAAAUUGAAUACAGAAUAGUGUAC
This is a long non-coding RNA of Electrophorus electricus (electric eel), 929 nucleotides long. NCBI's taxonomy places the organism in Eukaryota, Metazoa, Chordata, Actinopteri, Gymnotiformes, Gymnotidae. The record is from Ensembl.